Molecule: small nuclear RNA, 162 nt
Organism: Sorex fumeus (smoky shrew)
Lineage: Eukaryota; Metazoa; Chordata; Mammalia; Eulipotyphla; Soricidae
Product: U1 spliceosomal RNA
Exons: 1
Source: RefSeq, a predicted model, not a curated record
AUAGCACUGCCCGGGGAGAUACCAUGAUCACGAAGGUGGUUUUCCCAGGGUGAGGUUUAUCCAUUGCGCUCUGGAUGUGCUGACCCCUGAGAUUUCCCCAGAUGUAGAACACUCAGCUACCUAACUUGUGAUAGUGGGGGACUGCAUUCACGCUCUCCGCUG